GCUGGGCGUGGUGGUGUACGCCUGUAAAACCAGCCACUCAGGAGGCUGAGGCAGGAGGAUCACAAGUUCAAAGCCAGCCUCAGCAAAAGUGAAGUGCUAAGCAAGUCAGUGAGACCCUGUCUCUA
Molecule: small RNA, 125 nt
Filed under: Marmota monax (woodchuck)
Lineage: Eukaryota; Metazoa; Chordata; Mammalia; Rodentia; Sciuridae
Source: RNAcentral